Molecule: ribosomal RNA, 25 nt
Filed under: Paragonimus heterotremus
Lineage: Eukaryota; Metazoa; Platyhelminthes; Trematoda; Plagiorchiida; Troglotrematidae
Description: partial 5.8S ribosomal RNA
Source: RNAcentral
CUUUGAACAUCGACAUCUUGAACGC